Molecule: long non-coding RNA, 1560 nt
Organism: Chrysolophus pictus (golden pheasant)
Lineage: Eukaryota; Metazoa; Chordata; Aves; Galliformes; Phasianidae
Source: Ensembl
AUGCAACACAACUGGGACAUGCAACACAACUGGGACUUGCAAAGCUGCUGGGGUGUGCAAUGGAAUCUGGACGUGCAACACAACUGGGACUUUGCUUCUUACCUAUUGGGGCGUGCAAGGCAACCUGGACUUGCUGCAGGACCUGGAUGUGCAAAUGGAUCUGAGCGUGCAACGCAACAGGGACGUGCAAUGGGACUGGGACGUGCAACACAAGUGGGACGUGCAAAGCUGUUGGGGCGUGCAAAGGGAUCGAGGUGUGCAAGGAUCCGGAUUUGCAAAGCUAUUGAGUUGUGCAACACAACUGGGACUCGCAGCAGGACCUGGUUGUGCAAAUGGGUCCUGAGUGUGCAAUGCAACCCGGGGCAUGCGAUGAGACUUGGGUGUGCAACACGACUGGGUCUGGGGUGUGCAACGCAACCUGGAUUUGCAGCAGGACCUGAUUGUGCAACAGGAUCUGGGUGUGCAAUGCGACCUGGGAAGUGCAAUGGGGCGUGCAAAGCUAUGGGGGCGUGCAACAGGAUUGGGGCGUGCAAUGAGACCUGGACGUGCAACGGGGUUGGGUGUGCAAUGCAACCUGGCCUUGCAGCGACACUUGGACGUGAAAAAGGGAUUGGGUGUGCAACGGGAUUUGGGUGUGCAAGGCGACUUGGAUUUGCAGCAAGAUGUGGAUGUGCAACAGCGUCUGGGCGUGCAACAAGAUUUGGGUGUGCAAGGCAACUUGGAUUUGCAGCAGGAUCUUCAGGAUGUGGAUGUGCAAAGGGAUUUGGGCGUGCAACACAAGCGGGACGUGCAACAAGAUUGGGAUGUGCAACGGGAUUGGAUGUGCAACGGCGUCUGAGCGUGCAACAAGAUUUGGGUGUGCAAGGCAGCUUGGAUUUGCAGCAGGAUGUGGAUGUGCAAAUGGAUUUUGGGCGUGCAACACACGUGGGACGUGAAAAUGGAUUCAGGUGUGGAAGGCAACUGAGACGUGCAACGGCACUUGGAUGUGCAACGAUGCGUGUGCAAAGGGGUUGGGGUGUGCAACACAAGUUGGAUGUGCCACGCAACUGGGACUUGCUGCAAGGAUCUGAGUGUGCAACAGGGUUGGGGUGUGCAACAACUGGGGCGUGCAAAGCCAGUGGGGCGUGCAACACAACUUGGAUGUGCGACACAAGUGGGACGUGCAAGGAGUUUGGGGUGUGUGACACAACUGGGACGUGCAACGGGUCACGGGCAUGCAACAGGAUUGGCGUGUGCAAAGGGGUUGGGGUGUGUGCAAUGGAGCUGGGUGUGCAAAGGGAUGGGGGUGUGCAACACAAGUGGGCGUGCAACAACACUUGGAUGUGCAACGGGAUUGGGCGUGCAACAGCACCUGGAUGUGCAAUGGGAUUUGGGCGUGCAACACAAGUGGGACUUGCAACGCAACCGGGGCGUGCAAGAGGAUCUGGGUGUGCAAAGGGAUUUGGGUUUGCAAGGCAACAUGGGCGUGCAACGAUGCUUGGAUGUGCAAUAGGAUUUCAGCGUGCAACACAACUUGGAUGUGCAAUGACGCUUGAGUGUGCAACAGGAUUGAGUGAGUGA